GAAAAAAAACCUAUAAGACUGGGAUAACUUCGGGAAACCGGAGCUAAUACCGGAUAAUAUUUUGAACCGCAUGGUUCAAAAGUGAAAGACGGUCUUGCUGUCACUUAUAGAUGGAUCCGCGCUGCAUUAUCUAGUUGGUAAGGUAACGGCUUACCAAGGCAACGAUGCAUAGCCGACCUGAGAGGGUGAUCGGCCACACUGGAACUGAGACAAGGUCCAGACUACGACGGGAGGAAGCAGUAGGGAAUCGUCAGCAAUGGGCGAAAGCCUGACGUAGAAACGCCGCUUUUUUUAUGAAGGAUCCGGGAACCGCAAAGAUCUACACUCGUUAGGAA
RNAcentral lists this ribosomal RNA (335 nucleotides) under uncultured bacterium. Its description in RNAcentral is "partial 16S ribosomal RNA". It matches the Rfam family "Bacterial small subunit ribosomal RNA", at positions 120 to 449 of the family's 1533-position model. The record is from RNAcentral.